UUUAGAUCCAUCAAGUUUACAUGGCGGAUGUCCUGUCAUAAGAGGAAAUAAGUGGUCAUCGACAAAAUGGAUGCAUAUCCGGGAAUUUAGAGCUUAAUGUAUCGAGAAAGGAGAUAUCGAUGUACAUCACAGUGUCAACGUCUUUUGGAGAUGGAUUACCACUGAGGAGAAAACGUGCGAUGGAGAAUUGUGAGGAUGUCGUGGACGGGCUGCUAAUCUAUUCAUAGAAACUUCUUUUGUUUAUGUAGGACCAACAACUGUAUAUACAGUCCUUUGAGUUUUGCUUGUAUACUGUUCUUCUCUUAGUUAUCUAAAAGACAAGUUGACCUACAACAAAAUUGUAAGCGGAGUCGGUCACAUGGAUCUGAAUCUUUUACCAUUAUUAAGAUUAAAAAGUUAUAUGUUUAAUUAA
Molecule: non-coding RNA, 412 nt
Organism: Musa acuminata subsp. malaccensis (wild Malaysian banana)
Lineage: Eukaryota; Viridiplantae; Streptophyta; Magnoliopsida; Zingiberales; Musaceae
Source: RefSeq, a predicted model, not a curated record